UUUGAAACACUAGUUCUUGUAUGAUCACUGAAGUUAAGCAAUAUUGAGCCUAGUCAGUACCUAGAUAUGUGACUGCUUUGGAAUAACUGGUGCUGUAAG
Non-coding RNA from Acanthosepion pharaonis, 99 nucleotides. The record is from the annotation of a GenBank genome assembly. NCBI's taxonomy places the organism in Eukaryota, Metazoa, Mollusca, Cephalopoda, Sepiida, Sepiidae.